GCAGAACUCCAAUGUUUGAUGGGUGAUUUACUUGGAAGAUAUUCUGAUCUAAUGGAUGGUUUCAAUGAAUUUUUGACACGAUGCGAGAGGAACGAUGGAUUUCUUGCUGGUGUCAUGAGUAGAAAGUCAUUGUGGAAUGAAGGAAGUUUGCCUAGAACAGUGCAAGUGGAGGAUAGGGACAGAGAUAGAGACCGUGACCGUGAGAAAGAGG
RNAcentral lists this unclassified non-coding RNA (211 nucleotides) under Hevea brasiliensis (rubber tree). The record is from RNAcentral. Lineage: Eukaryota; Viridiplantae; Streptophyta; Magnoliopsida; Malpighiales; Euphorbiaceae.